GAUGAACGCUAGCGGGAGGCCUAACACAUGCAAGCCGAGCGGUAGAGUUCCUUCGGGAACUUGAGAGCGGCGUACGGGUGCGUAACACGUGUGCGACCUACCUUUAUCUGGGGGAUAGCCUUUCGAAAGGAAGAUUAAUACCCCAUAAUAUAUUGAAUGGCAUCAUUUAAUAUUGAAAACUCUGGUGGAUAGAGAUGGGCACGCGCAAGAUUAGAUAGUUGGUGAGGUAACGGCUCACCAAGUCUGUGAUCUUUAGGGGUCCUGAGAGGGAGAUCCCCCACACUGGUACUGAGACACGGACCAGACUCCUACGGGAGGCAGCAGUGAGGAAUAUUGGACAAUGGGUGAGAGCCUGAUCCAGCCAUCCCGCGUGAAGGAUGACGGUCCUAUGGAUUGUAAACUUCUUUUGUACAGGAAUAAACCUAUUUACGUGUAAAUAGCUGAAGGUACUGUACGAAUAAGCACCGGCUAACUCCGUGCCAGCAGCCGCAGUAA
This 495-nucleotide ribosomal RNA is filed under the name uncultured bacterium. RNAcentral's name for it is "partial 16S ribosomal RNA". It matches the Rfam family "Bacterial small subunit ribosomal RNA", at positions 28 to 523 of the family's 1533-position model. The record is from RNAcentral.